AGUGAACGCUGGCGGCGUGCUUAACACAUGCAAGUCGAACGAGAACGGGCUAUAGCUUGCAAUAGUUGUCAGCUAAGUGGCGCACGGGUGAGUAAUGUAUAGGUAAUAUGCCUCUUACUAAGGGAUAACAAAUGGAAACGUUUGCUAAUACCUUAUACUCCUUAUUAACAGAAGUUAAUAAGGGAAAGAUUUAUUGGUAAGAGAUUAGCCUGUAUUGUAUCAGUUAGUUGGUGGGGUAAUGGCUUACCAAGACUAUGACACAUAACUGGUUUGAGAGGAUGAUCAGUCACACUGGAACUGAGACACGGUCCAGACUCCUACGGGAGGCAGCAGUGGGGAAUAUUGCACAAUGGACGAAAGUCUGAUGCAGCAACGCCGCGUGGAGGAUGACACAUUUCGGUGCGUAAACUCCUUUUAUAUGAGAAGAUAAUGACGGUAUUAUAUGAAUAAGCACCGGCUAACUCCGUGCCAGCAGCCGCCGUAA
Molecule: ribosomal RNA, 484 nt
Filed under: uncultured bacterium
Lineage: Bacteria
Description: partial 16S ribosomal RNA
Rfam family: Bacterial small subunit ribosomal RNA
Source: RNAcentral